CCAUAUUCAACAGCUAGCUAAGGGAUAUCGUAUGUAUAUAUAUAUAUAUAUAUAUAUAUGAAAAUAUAUAAAUUUUAGAUAACUAAGAUUAUAAAUAAACAAGACAGAAAGCAACACGAUGCGAAACUAGAGAAAAGAAGAAAUUAAAAAAAAAAAAAGCAACUUAAAAUAUUAACAAAUUAUCGCCUUAUCUCUUAGACUUUUUUUCGGCUGUGAAACUGAGAGUGAUAGCCAAAUAUGCAGAAAUCGCUUUCAAUAAUAAGGGUUUAUAUGGUUAAGUAUGAUUUCGAUCGGAUCGAGGGAUGUAUGUGACUUUACAAAUCUUUACGAGCCUAGAUUCAAAGAAAUCAACUUAUGCUUGAAUUUGAAAAACAAUAACACUAAUUGACGUUCCCAUCUAUUUUAUUUAUAACAAUGAUCUCAAUGUCAACAUGCUCGACACUUUAUCUAUUCAGUCAAAUAACUUCGUUUAGCCGAUUAAUCAAACCCUUAAGGAUCAAUGAUACAUUGAUUCGUUGUAAAUAUCCCAUAUUAGCCGGUUUCUCAUGUUUAUCUUGCAUGUCUCUUAGAUAAUUCCUGAUGUUAUUCAGCAUCUAAUACACUUCCCUAUCUAUAAUGUAAGAGAAAAUACUCGAUACCAGCUUGCGCCGUUCACAAAUCGGUUUCCAGCCUCAUUGGGCAUAAUGCUUUUUAAUCACCGAUAUACACUUUAUCUGUCGGGUUCGAUAAUCCUACUUAACAGGAUUGUUCACUAUAGUGCACGCCCCUUACAGAAGGGAUGAGACCUAUCGAUAUUGAAAACGGAGGCAAACGUAUUCAUUCAAGUCAUUUGUUGGUUGAUGAAUUAAAUAAGAAAAUAUCAGUCAGUAUAAGGCUCCUAGUAACUUAGAUAAAAAAAAAUGUCAAAUUAGUAUAUUAAACCAUUCUAAGAUACUAAAAUACGAGGUACACGCAUUAGAAAUUAAUACCAGGACUUGCAGAAGAGUCUUCUAAAGCAAUCUCUCCUUGAAAAUAGUUUAGGCAAAGUGCAAGUGCAAAACAUUGUUUACAUCUUAUUUUGAAACGCGUCUGUCUUUGUUUUGUCAGCAAUACUACACUACGCUAUAAUACACUACGUUGAGUAUCACUAUAUGUCACAUGUUCUAAUUAUAUAUCGUACCAUGUAUGAUACGAUAUGGA
This 1179-nucleotide unclassified non-coding RNA is filed under the name Schizosaccharomyces pombe (fission yeast). Its description in RNAcentral is "intergenic RNA (predicted)". The record is from RNAcentral. Lineage: Eukaryota; Fungi; Ascomycota; Schizosaccharomycetes; Schizosaccharomycetales; Schizosaccharomycetaceae.